AUUCCCAAUGAUGUUUGGCAUUUUUUACCAUGCUAAUGCUGAAAUGCUUUGACGAACCUUCAAUGCGUAUCCUGAGGGAACU
Molecule: small nucleolar RNA, 82 nt
Organism: Zingiber officinale
Lineage: Eukaryota; Viridiplantae; Streptophyta; Magnoliopsida; Zingiberales; Zingiberaceae
Product: small nucleolar RNA snoR53Y
Exons: 1
Source: RefSeq, a predicted model, not a curated record